GGAUGUGAGGGCCAUCUCGCUGUGACAUCUGUCACCCUAUUGAUCACCAGGGUUGAUUCAGCUGAUCUGGCUGGCUAGGCCUACCUCAUGGCUCCAUGUGCAUCCCUUCCAAAGCUGCUGGGUCGAAGAGGACAACAACCCCCGAUAGAGGAGGACCAUUCCCGGAUCAAGGGUAUACGAAUAGCUGUGCUCCCCUGCUAGAACCCCCAAAGAAACUCUCAAGGUUCUCAAGGUCUGUAGCUUUGCCUAUUUUAGAUAUUUCCAAAAAAAUGGAGUCAUAUAGUAUUUGUCCUUUUGUGU
RNAcentral lists this small nuclear RNA (300 nucleotides) under Chinchilla lanigera (long-tailed chinchilla). RNAcentral describes it as "7SK RNA (ENSCLAG00000021596.1)". It matches the Rfam family "7SK RNA". From Rfam's summary of the family: 7SK was discovered as an abundant small nuclear RNA in the mid-70s but a possible function has only recently been suggested. Lineage: Eukaryota; Metazoa; Chordata; Mammalia; Rodentia; Chinchillidae. The record is from Rfam by way of RNAcentral.